This 58-nucleotide transfer RNA is filed under the name Salmo salar (Atlantic salmon). It matches the Rfam family "tRNA", at positions 8 to 63 of the family's 71-position model. From Rfam's summary of the family: Transfer RNA (tRNA) molecules are approximately 80 nucleotides in length. Their secondary structure includes four short double-helical elements and three loops (D, anti-codon, and T loops). Lineage: Eukaryota; Metazoa; Chordata; Actinopteri; Salmoniformes; Salmonidae. The record is from Rfam by way of RNAcentral.
UGGCUCAGUUGUUAGAGCAUGGCGCUUGCAACGCCAGGGUUGUGGGUUCAAUUCACAC